Molecule: long non-coding RNA, 788 nt
Organism: Passer domesticus (house sparrow)
Lineage: Eukaryota; Metazoa; Chordata; Aves; Passeriformes; Passeridae
Exons: 3
Source: RefSeq, a predicted model, not a curated record
UUGUGCUUCGUGAAGUGUCAGAUAAUUUGGAUAGGGAAAAAGGGGUGGUAAGUCAGGCUUUUUUUUCUGUACGUCCACAUUGAAGAUGUGGUGUCUUCAAUGCCAACAGAAAACAACACUUGCUUUGCAAACUCUCUCUAAAGUGGGAAACUAAGCCCCAGGAAACCUAAAGCCCCAUGAGAGAACUCAACUCCAGAGAUUGUCUUUGAUCACCCGAGGUUCUUCAGGUGGCUGCACACAAGGGCUGUGGAAACAACACACCCAAGCACAGUGGAUUCCAUCUGGAAGCUCACACACACCAGUCCUUCCACAGGAAAACUCAGAGGUAUUGCAAAAGGGGCAAGUUUUCCUCUGGAACACAUCCACAGGUUCAGAGCAAGCACGCUGGAGUAGCAAUGGCUUCUACAUGUUGCACACCCACACAUGCAUAGUACUUUAAUCAGAACUUUAAGUAUUUCAGAUUUGUUACAGAAUUAAGCCACCUGAAGCACAUGAAGCAACUAAAGGCAGGCAGUAGCUCUUUAAAAGCUGGGCUAGGGGGAGGAUACUCCCAUAUCACAAGGAAGGCUUCUGUGGUGGCCACAGUAGCAGAACCAGCAGCCAGAAAUGGAUUAUGAGAGAUUUGAGGCUCAGAGAAUGUGAAUCCCACAAGGCAUCACCUUGCCAAGCCAGGAAUUCUUCAUCUGCUCUGAACUUGGGUAGUUACCCUUGCGAGGAAAUGCAAGUUCCUUGAUCCACGUUCCCUGCUGGCUUUGGUCACUGAAUUCCUGGUGUUUGAAAAGGAGAUA